UCCUACGGGAGCAGCAGUGGGGAAUAUUGCACAAUGGGCGAAAGCCUGAUGCAGCCAUGCCGCGUGUGUGAAGAAGGCCUUCGGGUUGUAAAGCACUUUCAGUCAGGAGGAAAGGUUGGUAGUUAAUACCUCAUAUCUGUGACGUUACUGACAGAAGAAGCACCGGCUAACUCCGUGCCAGCAGCCGCGGUAAUACGGAGGGUGCGAGCGUUAAUUGGAAUUACUGGGCGUAAAGCGUACGCAGGCGGUUUGUUAAGCGAGAUGUGAAAGCCCCGGGCUCAACCUGGGAACUGCAUUUCGAACUGGCAAACUAGAGUGUGAUAGAGGGUGGUAGAAUUUCAGGUGUAGCGGUGAAAUGCGUAGAGAUCUGAAGGAAUACCGAUGGCGAAGGCAGCCACCUGGGUCAACACUGACGCUCAUGUACGAAAGCGUGGGGAGCAAACAGGAUUAGAUACCCCGGUAGUCCACGCCGUAAAGGAGGUGGCGAGAAGCUAAGAACCUCGGGUCU
Molecule: ribosomal RNA, 508 nt
Filed under: uncultured bacterium
Lineage: Bacteria
Description: bacterial SSU rRNA
Rfam family: Bacterial small subunit ribosomal RNA
Source: RNAcentral